UUCAUGAGGAAGCCUCGAAGGGGUUAAAGUGGAAGGCUUGCACAAACUUUGCCUCUCCGCUUCUCCCUUAUCUCCUCCCUCUCGGGCUCUGCUCUCCGCACGGCUAAGGCAGAGCAGAGCUGAAUCACACUACCUUUCCCCGCAUCCUCUAAACUGUUGCCUGCGAAAGAGGGACCGGGGACUGAACUGUUCAGACUGCUUCCAUCCAAGGGUUCCGGACGGUAUACACGCAUCCAAGCAGACACUUCUCUUGGCUCUUUUGGAGUUUAAAAGGCGCAGGCAUCCGGCACUGCGGCUAUUUGCCAGAGAUGUUCCUGAACAAGUUGCCUGGCGGUGCAAGCUUCAAAAGGGAUACUUAAAUGGCCAGCCCCAUUUCGUCCCGUAAGCCAGGAAAGGAAUAUAAAUCUGUUGAAGAAUCUUAAGAGUCAAAUCUUCUGAGCCUAGACAUACUGCUGUCAGCAUCUCUUGAGACCUCCUCCUUCUGAGAAUUCCCAGGUCUGACCACACUUUCCCUCCAGCCUACAGUGAGGGACGUCAACACACAUCCUCUAGACUUCCAGCCCCCGAGCUGUGGCAGCUGGGGCAGGAAUCUUACAAGCUCCAUCCUUAGGGGAGAUUCAGAAAGACAAGAAGGGUGAAAAGUCAGAUAUGCUGAGUCUGAAACAUACAAAAGCCUUUAGAACGGCUCCUCACAGAAGAACCCAAAUAAAUCCACAUAAUUAGUGCGCA
This 729-nucleotide long non-coding RNA is filed under the name Felis catus (domestic cat). RNAcentral describes it as "lncRNA (ENSFCAG00000049820.1)". Lineage: Eukaryota; Metazoa; Chordata; Mammalia; Carnivora; Felidae. The record is from RNAcentral.